AGGUAUAUUGAUUUGGGACUUUAUUUUUGUGUGUAUUAUCUGAGAACAAAUGCUAUUAUUAUUUCUAGCUGUUUGUGCUUAUAUUAUAGCUUUGAACUUGUUCAGGUGAAUGACUUAAGAUGUAACUUGAACACAAUUAAUGCUGCUGCUAGAGAGGUAAAAGAAUCUGCAAAAUUGCGUCAAGUAAUGCAGACGAUUCUUACUAUAGGAAAUGCAUUGAACCAAGGUACUGCUUGAGGUAUUAUUCUGUAUCAAAGCUGAAGGACUUCACUGGAAGGGAGAAGCCUCCAGUUAUCACAUAAAUCUGAGUGUCUGAUGUUAAUCUCACACAAUGAGGCUUCACUAGUAACAAUGUGAAAGCAGGUUGGGCAUUCCAUCUUUUCUCCUGCAUGUUUCUCAUAUUUAUAUAUUUUUUCGUUUGGUGUUGAUCGCACAAUAUGCAGUCGCUCACAGGAUGACAUUGGAAUAUUUGUUUUCUUGGCAAGUGGAUCCCCAAGAUAUUGUUAUGGUCAGAAAUUUCCUGGAGAGAUGCACAAUAUGGUCAAAGAAUUCAAGGAUUUAGUUUUUU
This is a non-coding RNA of Camellia sinensis, 568 nucleotides long. The record is from RefSeq and is a predicted model, not a curated record. NCBI's taxonomy places the organism in Eukaryota, Viridiplantae, Streptophyta, Magnoliopsida, Ericales, Theaceae.